AGCAAACAGGAUUAGAUACCCUGGUCGCCCACGCUGUAACCGAUGAGUACUAGGUGUCGGGGGUUACCCCCUUCGGUGCCGCAGCUAACGCAUUAAGUACUCCGCCUGGGAAGUACGCUCGCAAGAGUGAAACUCAAAGGAAUGGACGGGGACCCGCACAAGUAGCGGAGCAUGUGGUUUAAUUCGAAGCAACGCGAAGAACCUUACCUAAGCUUGACAUCCCAAUGACAUCUCCUUAAUCGGAGAGUUCCCUUCGGGGACAUUGGUGACAGGUGGUGCAUGGUUGUCGUCAGCUCGUGUCGUGAGAUGUUGGGUUAAGUCCCGCAACGAGCGCAACCCUUGUCUUUAGUUGCCAUCAUUAAGUUGGGCACUCUAGAGAGACUGCCAGGGAUAACCUGGAGGAAGGUGGGGAUGACGUCAAAUCAUCAUGCCCCUUAUGCUUAGGGCUACACACGUGCUACAAUGGGUAGUACAGAGGGUUGCCAAGCCGUAAGGUGGAGCUAAUCCCUUAAAGCUACUCUCAGUUCGGAUUGUAGGCUGAAACUCGCCUACAUGAAGCUGGAGUUACUAGUAAUCGCAGAUCAGAAUGCUGCGGUGAAUGCGUUCCCGGGUCUUGUACACACCGCCCGUCACACCACGGGAGUUGGAGACGCCCGAAGCCGAUUAUCUAACCUUUUGGAAGAAGUCGUCGAAGGUGGAAUCAAUAACUGGGGUGAAGUCGUAACAAGGUAGCCGUAUCGGAAGGUGCGGCUGGAUCACCUCCUUUCUAAGGA
RNAcentral lists this ribosomal RNA (773 nucleotides) under Clostridioides difficile. Its description in RNAcentral is "bacterial SSU rRNA". It matches the Rfam family "Bacterial small subunit ribosomal RNA", at positions 767 to 1533 of the family's 1533-position model. The record is from RNAcentral. Lineage: Bacteria; Bacillati; Bacillota; Clostridia; Peptostreptococcales; Peptostreptococcaceae.